GGGGAUUUGGCUCAGUGGUAAAGCGUUUGCCUAGGAAGCGCAAGGUCCUGGGUUCGGUCCCCAGCCCCG
Molecule: transfer RNA, 69 nt
Filed under: Rattus norvegicus (Norway rat)
Lineage: Eukaryota; Metazoa; Chordata; Mammalia; Rodentia; Muridae
Rfam family: tRNA
About the family: Transfer RNA (tRNA) molecules are approximately 80 nucleotides in length.
Source: Rfam by way of RNAcentral